AAGAGACAGCAGCAGCCGCGGUAAUACAGAGGGUGCGAGCGUUAAUCGGAUUUACUGGGCGUAAAGCGUGCGUAGGCGGCUUUUUAAGUCGGAUGUGAAAUCCCUGAGCUUAACUUAGGAAUUGCAUUCGAUACUGGGAAGCUAGAGUAUGGGAGAGGAUGGUAGAAUUCCAGGUGUAGCGGUGAAAUGCGUAGAGAUCUGGAGGAAUACCGAUGGCGAAGGCAGCCAUCUGGCCUAAUACUGACGCUGAGGUACGAAAGCAUGGGGAGCAAACAGGAUUAGAGACCCGCGUAGUCCCUGUCUCUUAUAC
RNAcentral lists this ribosomal RNA (310 nucleotides) under uncultured bacterium. Its description in RNAcentral is "partial 16S ribosomal RNA". It matches the Rfam family "Bacterial small subunit ribosomal RNA", at positions 503 to 807 of the family's 1533-position model. The record is from RNAcentral.